Molecule: long non-coding RNA, 492 nt
Organism: Canis lupus familiaris (dog)
Lineage: Eukaryota; Metazoa; Chordata; Mammalia; Carnivora; Canidae
Exons: 3
Source: RefSeq, a predicted model, not a curated record
AAACAGCAAGAGCGCCCAGCAGGAAAGGGGCUGUCAGAACAUGAGUUCCCCCAAGCAGACAGCGGCCGGUGCUGUUGUAAGCCAGGCGUCCCACACUCCUGCUGGCCCUUCUGUGUAACUCUGAAACUGAACAUCCAGGGCUGCUCUGUCAGAGACUCAUCCCACGCUGAAGACACUGCUCCUUUGUGCACAAACGACCCGGGCGCUAGCAGCCAUGUUGCAAGAUGCUCUAUGAAGAAGCCCAUGCAGCAAGAGACCAAAGGAAGACUCUGGCCAAGAACUCAUGAGGACCUGAAGCUUCAGUCUAUAGUGUUCUAGGAAAUGAUCCUGCCAACAAACAUGCAGAUAAGCUUGGAAGGAAAUCCUUGCCAGGGCUAAAGAUCAAAAGAAUAUUCAUUCAUAUGACAAAGAUUUGCUGAAAGAGUCCUAUGUGCAGGGCAUUCAACAAGGUAUUAGAGGAAGAUAAAAAGCUGAAGAAGUCAGGACACUUGC